This 254-nucleotide ribosomal RNA is filed under the name uncultured bacterium. Its description in RNAcentral is "partial 16S ribosomal RNA". It matches the Rfam family "Bacterial small subunit ribosomal RNA", at positions 524 to 776 of the family's 1533-position model. The record is from RNAcentral.
UACGAAGGGGGCUAGCGUUGCUCGGAAUCACUGGGCGUAAAGGGUGCGUAGGCGGGUCUUUUAAGUCAGGGGUGAAAUCCUGGAGCUCAACUCCAGAACUGCCUUUGAUACUGAAGAUCUUGAGUCCGGGAGAGGUGAGUGGAACUGCGAGUGUAGAGGUGAAAUUCGUAGAUAUUCGCAAGAACACCAGUGGCGAAGGCGGCUCACUGGCCCGGUACUGACGCUGAUGCACGAAAGCUAGGGGAGCAAACAGG